GUCUACAGGAAGAUGCUGGAUGAUGUUCUCUGUAAAUCUAUCCCUUUAUCCCUCCAUUCCCAUGUGUGGAUUCUCCAUUCCUGUGAUAAUUUCUGAAACCAACCUCUGCCUCUCCCCACCUUCAUUUUUGYCAGGUCUCACUACUGCUGGAUGCAGAUUUCCAGUAUGAAAUGUUCACUCCAUUGAAGGCAAUCAAUGUUUCAMUGCCAGUGGAUGUGAGACCAGGAUUUCAGACACAGAAUAUCAAUGGCAAGUUAUGUGGCUUGACACCUGAAGAAACUCUGAUGCAUCUGCUUCCCCUAUCAUCUUGAAACAGCAAGAAAGUAGUUGUCUUUUCAGCCACCAGACAAAUAAA
Malurus melanocephalus (red-backed fairy wren) is the source of this 355-nucleotide long non-coding RNA. RefSeq lists it as uncharacterized. The record is from RefSeq and is a predicted model, not a curated record. The transcript is spliced from 3 exons. Lineage: Eukaryota; Metazoa; Chordata; Aves; Passeriformes; Maluridae.